AUAACGGUCCUAAGGUAGCGAAAUUCCUUGUCAGGUAAGUUCUGACCCGCACGAAAGGCGUAACGAUUUGGGCGCUGUCUCAGCUGUAGACUCGGUGAAGUCUUAGUACCUGUGAAGAUGCAGGUUACCCGCGACUAGACGGAAAGACCCCAUGGAGCUUUACUGUAGCUUGAUAUUGGACUUUGAUGCAAGAUGUACAGGAUAGGUAGGAGACUGAGAGACAUGCACGCCAGUGUGUGAGGAGUCAAUGUUGGGAUACUACUCUUCUUGUAUUGGAGUUCUAACCGGAUGCCAUGGAACUGGCAACGGGACAGUGUCAGGUGGGCAGUUUGACUGGGGCGGUCGCCUCCCAAAGAGUAACGGAGGCGCCCAAAGAUACCCUCAGCUUGGAUGGAAAUCAAGCGCAGAGUGCAAAGGCAUAAGGGUGUUUGACUGCGAGACCUACAAGUCGAGCAGGGACGAAAGUCGGGCUUAGUGAUCCGGCGGUGCUGAAUGGAAAGGCCGUCGCUCAACGGAUAAAAGCUACCCUGGGGAUAACAGGCUGAUCUCCCCCAAGAGUUCACAUCGACGGGGAGGUUUGGCACCUCGAUGUCGGCUCAUCGCAUCCUGGAGCUGAAGUCGGUUCCAAGGGUUGGGCUGUUCGCCCAUUAAAGCGGUACGCGAGCUGGGUUCAGAACGUCGUGAGACAGUUCGGUCCCUAUCUGUCGUGGGCGUAGGAAGUUUGAGAAGAUCUGUCCUCAGUACGAGAGGACCGGGAUGGACAUAUCAAUGGUGCACCAGUUGUCACGCCAGUGGCACAGCUGGGUAGCUAAAUAUGGAAGGGAUAAACGCUGAAGGCAUCUAAGUGUGAAACCCACUUCAAGAUGAGACUUCCCAUUACGCAAGUAAGUAAGACCCCUUAAAGACGAUAAGGUUGAUAGGUCAGGAGUGUAAGCAUGGCGACAUGUUCAGCGGACUGAUACUAAUAGGUCGAGGACUUAACCU
Molecule: ribosomal RNA, 984 nt
Filed under: human gut metagenome
Description: bacterial LSU rRNA
Rfam family: Bacterial large subunit ribosomal RNA
Source: RNAcentral